RNAcentral lists this transfer RNA (73 nucleotides) under Ovis aries (sheep). It matches the Rfam family "tRNA". Rfam says of the family: Transfer RNA (tRNA) molecules are approximately 80 nucleotides in length. Lineage: Eukaryota; Metazoa; Chordata; Mammalia; Artiodactyla; Bovidae. The record is from Rfam by way of RNAcentral.
UCCCUAGUGGCUCAGACGGUAAAAGCGUCUGCUUACAAUGUGGGAAACCUGGGUUCGAUCCCUGGCUUGGGAA